UACAGAGGUCCCAAGCGUUGUUCGGAUUCAUUGGGCGUAAAGGGUGCGUAGGCGGCGCGGUAAGUCGGGUGUGAAAUCUCGGGGCUUAACUCCGAAACUGCAUUCGAUACUGCCGUGCUUGAGGACUGGAGAGGAGACUGGAAUUUACGGUGUAGCGGUGAAAUGCGUAGAUAUCGUAAGGAAGACCAGUGGCGAAGGCGGGUCUCUGGACAGUUCCUGACGCUGAGGAGCGAAAGUGUGGGGAGCGAACAGG
RNAcentral lists this ribosomal RNA (253 nucleotides) under uncultured bacterium. RNAcentral describes it as "partial 16S ribosomal RNA". It matches the Rfam family "Bacterial small subunit ribosomal RNA", at positions 524 to 776 of the family's 1533-position model. The record is from RNAcentral.